This 2095-nucleotide ribosomal RNA is filed under the name Triticum aestivum (bread wheat). RNAcentral's name for it is "partial small subunit ribosomal RNA". The record is from RNAcentral. Lineage: Eukaryota; Viridiplantae; Streptophyta; Magnoliopsida; Poales; Poaceae.
AAGUGUCCUCUGCUCGUGCUUGAUUCUCCUACCUCCGACCAGAACAGUCGCAGGGGCGUGCAUGUGUUGCUUCUGGACCAUGGACACGGCGCCGGUCUGCCUCGACCUCAUGGUCGGCCGUCCCAUGGACCGCGAGCCGUCUCUGGCGAGGUGCACCGGAAGCAGAACCGAAGCCGGCAUUGCUAGCUCGGCCUGUAGCAGAGCACCUUCCAUGACCAACGACGAGGCUAAGAUCCUGGAGGCGAAGCUGACGCAGGUGAGCGAGGAGAACCGGAGGCUCACGGAGAUGAUCGCCUACCUUUACGGCAACAAGGUCGCGCGCCAGAGCCCCGACGGCGAGGGCCAGCAGCCCGCCAGCACGGCCGGGUCGCCCACGCCGCCGGCGGGGAGAAAGAGGAGCCGGGACAGCAUGGACGCCUCGCAUUCUUGCGAUGUGGAAAUUAGCAACAGGAACGUAGGCACGGGCGAGGCCGAGCAUGUCGAUGUGGACAGCCCGCUGAGCAACGGCACUUGCCGGAGAAUCAAGGUCAAGAAGGUCUGCACCAGGAUCGACCCAUCGGACACGAGCCUCGUGGUGAAAGAUGGGUAUCAAUGGCGGAAGUACGGGCAGAAGGUGACACGGGACAACCCGUCCCCAAGGGCCUACUUCCGAUGCGCCUUCGCGCCUUCCUGCCCUGUCAAGAAGAAGGUGCAGAGGAGCGCGGAGGACAGCUCGGUGGUGGAGGCGACGUACGAGGGCGAGCACAACCACCCGCGCCCCACGCGGGCCGGCGAGCUGCCGGGCUGCACCACGCAGGGCGGCGGCUCGGUGCCGUGCUCCAUCUCCAUCAACUCCUCCGGCCCGACCAUCACGCUGGACCUCACCAAGAACGGGGGAGGCGUGCAGGUCUUGGAUGCGGGGGAGGCGCAGCCGGACAUGAAGAAGGUGUGCCGGGAGGUCGCGUCGCCAGAAUUCCAGAGGGCGUUGGUGGAGCAGAUGGCCCGCGAGCUCACCGGCGACCAAAAGUUCACCGACGCACUCGCCGCGGCGAUCCUGCGGAAGCUGCCGGAUUAUUAGCAUAACUAAUUAUAGAGACUACGCGAACUUCAGAAACUUCCUAAUUUUGUAGCAUUUGGAACACUAAAGGCUGACGUAGUACAAAAUUUCAUCUAGUACAACAUUGAAUUCGAUUACAGACAUUUUUACAAUAUAUUAAAACCCAUAGGCCAUGGCUGAUCACAAGCUCAUCGGCUUACGGGUAGACACUAAAUUCCAAUAAAAUAGCAAAAAAAUCUAAAAUUUUCAUACAUCAAAGAUGAACAAAUUUUCUAUGCGCGUGCAAAACUGAAUGACAAUAUGACAUUGGGGAGCUUGGGGCAGAAAAAACAAAAUCGGUCCUUCAAAAUAAAAAAAUUGAACAUUUCUUAAGACUUUGAUUUAUUUUUGUCGAGAGCUCUUGUGAUGUCAUAUCGCCAUGAAGUUUCGCACACCUAGAACUUGUGCACCAUUGGUGCCAAAAAACAAUAUAUUUUUUGCUGUAUUUUUUCAUUUUAUUGUUCAUCCACAGAAGCAGAUGCUCUUGUGCACCGAAACGCCAUAUUCAACAUCAAAAUAUCACAUCUUCUAAUAGUAAUUCCAAGAGUAACUCUAGUAGAGUCGAUAACACCCCCUUCGUACAUAAUGACCAUCGCCGAUACGAAGACUAGACGGGUAAAAAAACACUCGGAAAUUUUUUCCAGCCCGCUCCCUUCGUUUCAUGUCACCCUUGUUUCUCACCGCCCGCGGCUAUAAAGACUUGGCCACGACACGUCUUAGGGCACAUCGUUUCCUCCCCACCUCGUCCCUAAAUUCAACGCUAACGUAACCCAUCCUUGCCACGCCAUGGACUAGUUGAGCCGCCUCGUGUCGUCACAGGUGGCGUUGGCCGGCGGUGCUUCAUUCUCCCACAUCACCAUAGCCUCAUCCUUGGGACCCACGCCGAUGGGUGGCUGUCCUCCCCCCUUGUCCUUGGAGUUUAGAGAACUUGUGAUUUAGUAGUCCAUGUCCUCAACUCUAACAUAUUGGAUUUUGAGGCUGACUUUGACUCCGGCAUUAUCGAGCUCAACCCCUUCCCAU